RNAcentral lists this ribosomal RNA (254 nucleotides) under uncultured bacterium. Its description in RNAcentral is "partial 16S ribosomal RNA". It matches the Rfam family "Bacterial small subunit ribosomal RNA", at positions 524 to 776 of the family's 1533-position model. The record is from RNAcentral.
UACGGGGGGAGCAAGCGUUGUUCGGAUUUACUGGGCGUAAAGGGCGCGUAGGCGGCCACCGCAAGUCGGUUGUGAAAUCUCUGGGCUUAACCCAGAAAGGUCAACCGAUACUGCGGGGCUAGAGUGCAGAAGGGGCAACUGGAAUUCUCGGUGUAGCGGUGAAAUGCGUAGAUAUCGAGAGGAACACCUGCGGCGAAGGCGGGUUGCUGGGCUGACACUGACGCUCAUGCACGAAAGCGUGGGGAGCAAACAGG